UUGCCCCGAGAUGAGUUCUCCCUGAGACUUUAGGUCUCCUGAAGGAACGUUGAAGACGACAACGUUGAUAGGCCGGGUGUGUAAGCGCAGCGAUGCGUUGAGCUAACCGGUACUAAUGAACCGUGAGGCUUAACCUU
Molecule: ribosomal RNA, 137 nt
Filed under: Salmonella enterica
Lineage: Bacteria; Pseudomonadati; Pseudomonadota; Gammaproteobacteria; Enterobacterales; Enterobacteriaceae
Description: partial 23S ribosomal RNA
Rfam family: Bacterial large subunit ribosomal RNA
Source: RNAcentral